RNAcentral lists this ribosomal RNA (198 nucleotides) under Sphingobacteriaceae bacterium. RNAcentral's name for it is "partial 16S ribosomal RNA". It matches the Rfam family "Bacterial small subunit ribosomal RNA", at positions 1 to 195 of the family's 1533-position model. Lineage: Bacteria; Pseudomonadati; Bacteroidota; Sphingobacteriia; Sphingobacteriales; Sphingobacteriaceae. The record is from RNAcentral.
UUUACAAUGGAGAGUUUGAUCCUGGCUCAGGAUGAACGCUAGCGGCAGGCCUAAUACAUGCAAGUCGGACGGGAUUGGAAGCUUGCUUCCAUGAGAGUGGCGCACGGGUGCGUAACACGUAUGUAACCUACCUUUAUCUGGGGGAUAGCCUCUCGAAAGAGAGAUUAACACCGCAUAAAAUCACAGUACGGCAUUGUA